GGUGAACGCUAGCGGCAGGCCUAACACAUGCAAGUCGAGGGGUAACUAGAGUGAUAGCAAUAUUACUUUGGCUAGACCGGCGCACGGGUGCGUAACACGUAUGCAACCUACCUUAUACUGGGGAAUAACUUCGACAAAUCGGCGCUAAUACCCCAUAACAUUGAGAAGAGGAAUCUCUUAGCAAUUAAAGCUCCGGCGGUAUAAGAUGGGCAUGCGUCCAAUUAGCUAGUUGGUGAGGUAACGGCUCAGCAAGGCUAGGAUUGGUAGAGGUGCUGAGAGGAGGAUCGCCCACACUGGUACUGAGACACGGACCAGACUCCUACGGGAGGCAGCAGUGAGGAAUAGUGCGCAAAGGACUAAAGUCUGACGCAGCCAAGCCGCGUGCAGGAUGGCGACCCUAUGGGUUGUAAACUUCUUUUGUACGGGAAUAAACCCUUCUACGUGUAGGAGGCUGAAGGUACCGUAAGAAUAAGCACCGGCUAACUCCGUGCCAGCAGCCGCCGUAA
This 506-nucleotide ribosomal RNA is filed under the name uncultured bacterium. RNAcentral describes it as "partial 16S ribosomal RNA". It matches the Rfam family "Bacterial small subunit ribosomal RNA", at positions 28 to 523 of the family's 1533-position model. The record is from RNAcentral.